AGGUGGAGAGAUCCAUGGAGGUGCUCGGUCACAGAGGCAAAAGGACAAACAGGAAGCAUGGCAUGCACCAAGCACACCCAGAGCUGCGCCCGUGCCAGGAGAAGACUUCAAGCACAGGCGGGGCUGAUGGCAACAGUUCCCACCAGCUGUCCAGCUCCAGAAGAUGCAGAAAGGAAAUUCAGUCUUAGACAUUCAGUUGCAGAAGAAAGUUU
Molecule: long non-coding RNA, 212 nt
Organism: Harpia harpyja (harpy eagle)
Lineage: Eukaryota; Metazoa; Chordata; Aves; Accipitriformes; Accipitridae
Exons: 3
Source: RefSeq, a predicted model, not a curated record